This 552-nucleotide ribosomal RNA is filed under the name uncultured soil bacterium. RNAcentral describes it as "bacterial SSU rRNA". It matches the Rfam family "Bacterial small subunit ribosomal RNA", at positions 28 to 562 of the family's 1533-position model. The record is from RNAcentral.
GACGAACGCUGGCGGCGUGCCUAAUACAUGCAAGUCGAGCGAAUCAAUGGGAGCUUGCUCCCUGAGAUUAGCGGCGGACGGGUGAGUAACACGUGGGUAACCUGCCUGUAAGACUGGGAUAACUUCGGGAAACCGGAGCUAAUACCGGAUAGUUUCUUUUCUCGCAUGAGAGAAGAUGGAAAGAUGGUUCUGCUAUCACUUACAGAUGGACCCGCGGCGCAUUAGCUAGUUGGUGAGGUAACGGCUCACCAAGGCAACGAUGCGUAGCCGACCUGAGAGGGUGAUCGGCCACACUGGGACUGAGACACGGCCCAGACUCCUACGGGAGGCAGCAGUAGGGAAUCUUCCGCAAUGGACGAAAGUCUGACGGAGCAACGCCGCGUGAGCGAAGAAGGCCUUCGGGUCGUAAAGCUCUGUUGUUAGGGAAGAACAAGUACGAGAGUAACUGCUCGUACCUUGACGGUACCUAACCAGAAAGCCACGGCUAACUACGUGCCAGCAGCCCGCGGUAAUACGUAGGUGGCAAGCGUUGUCCCGGAAUUAUUGGGCGUA